This is a long non-coding RNA of Phragmites australis (common reed), 882 nucleotides long. RefSeq lists it as uncharacterized. The record is from RefSeq and is a predicted model, not a curated record. The transcript has 3 exons. NCBI's taxonomy places the organism in Eukaryota, Viridiplantae, Streptophyta, Magnoliopsida, Poales, Poaceae.
GUUGUGUUGUUAGUUCUUCCCUUCUUUCAAGGAUCAUGAUUUGUCAUAGAUAUUUCACUGGAAGUCACUACUGAAGUUAGAAAAAACUAUGGAUACAUUCUGGAAAAGGCGAUUAGAAUUUUGGCACGCUAGAGAAUCUGAAUUGAAAGGCGAUGGAGAAAGUGAUUAAAGUGUGUUCAUUGUCCAUAGCUUAGUUUACAUCAGCAGAUUUUUGCCUCUAGUUAGCCAAACCUUAGUUCUUGACAAAAUUUCAAAAGCAGGCAGCCACAUAUGGCUUUCUCAUCCUCAAGCACCCACAGAUUUUAGGACCUUCAAUGUGACAUGCCCUGAUGCCCCUGAAAGUAAGGAACCAAGAUGUUGCAACUUUUGGUCAUCAGCUGAAGCCAUGGUUCACUGCAGUGCUUGAUCUUGAUAUUGGCAUUGAACAAAGACAUGAUGGAACCUCUCUUUUGUAUCAAUAUAUAUUUUUUAGUUUGAUGUCAGUGGCUCAGUACUCUAAUAGGAAACAAAGGUAAAUUAUAUCUAUUUAUUCCAACAUGCGUUUCCACAUGGAAGGCUGAUUGCAAAUAUUAUAGAAUUGAACACCAAAACUCAUCUGCAUAGAUGCAUUAAAUCUCUUUGGAUGACAUUCCAUUUCUUUGUUCUCUAUGAAGCGGGAUUUCUUAUACUGCUUCGUAUUACAGAUUAGUGAUCAAGAGGGAGGACCACCUUACAAUAAAUAAUACGGUUGCUGACUAUCAGAAGGUACUGGAACCGUUGGUUUCAAGGCUGUUCUUAUGGAAGACAAUGAGCUACCAAUUAAACCACGGAAGAGCUGCGAGAAACUUGGGAAGUGGAAGAGAUGCGGCGACCAUUCAUCUCUUUGAGAAAAGAUACAGCAGU